AUGUCUGCUGCAUCGGGCUAUGUUGCUGUCCCUCGCUGUCCGGUGAUCUUCGAUGGUACUAACUACACCGAGUUCGCUGGCUUCAUGCGCAUUCACAUGCGUGGCAUCCGUCUCUGGGGUGUUCUUUCUGGCGAGGUCUGCUGUCCGCCACGUCCGGUUCCUCCGGUGGCCCCUACUCCGCCGACUCCACUGGUUCUUCCUACGGAUGCUAAUCAGGCCGCCAAGGAUGCGGCUAAGAUUGCUGAUGAGGCUGCUGAUCGUGCCUAUGAUGAGAGGGUUUUGGCUUAUGAGGAGGCUCUUCAGACGUAUCAUGGUGCUUUGUCUGUUUACACCCAGUGGCUUGACGAUGAUGCUCGUGCUGCAGCUGUUCUCACUGCUAGUGUUCUGCCUCAGUUUGCUUCUGAGUUUCUGGGUCUUCCUACUGUCUUCCAGAUGUGGACCUGUCUUCGUCAGCGCUAUGAGCCCUCUGGUGAUGCCCUAUACCUUUCUGUGGUUCGUCAGGAGCAUGCUCUUCAGCAGGGUGACUCUACUGUUGAUGACUUUUAUGCACAGAGUUCUGCUAUCUGGCGCCAGCUUGAUUCUCUCCGCAGUGCUGGUUGUCGUACUUGCCCCUGCUGCCAGGCUAUCCAGGCCGAUUUCGAGUUUCAUCGCGUCUACGAGUUCCUGUCUCGGCUCCGUAAGGAGUUUGAGCCCCGGCGUGCUCAGUUGUUUGCUCGUGGCCGUAUUUCUCUCAUGGAGGCGCUUUCAGAGAUUCGUGCUGAGGAGACUCGCCUACGUGGUGCUGGUUUGCUGGAGGUGCCCUCUGUGCUCGCUACUCGGGCUUCUUCCACUCCACCUGCUGCACCGCCCCAUUCUCGCUCGAGUGCUCCGCCGCUCUUGCCCACUCCUUCUGGAGGCUCAGGUCGCCCCCGUCCACACUGUGACUACUGCAACAAUGGUCAUAUUGAGUCCCAGUGCUACACAAAGCGGAAACACCUGCGCAAGGCGCGAUCCUCCUCCUCAGGGACUUCAUCUCCCUCGCCAGCUUCAGCCAUUGCUUUGACUGAGCAGGAUAUUCUGAGACUUAAGCGUCUGCUCGCGGCUUCAGGUUCUUCCUCGACGGGUACUGCUGGUUCUGUGACUGAUGCUUCUCGCACUGAGCACCCGCCCUCUACACAGUCAGGAUCGUCGCACGCACACUCUGGUUGGGGCUGGCCCUCGCCGCCGUGA
RNAcentral lists this ribosomal RNA (1209 nucleotides) under Triticum aestivum (bread wheat). RNAcentral's name for it is "partial small subunit ribosomal RNA". The record is from RNAcentral. Lineage: Eukaryota; Viridiplantae; Streptophyta; Magnoliopsida; Poales; Poaceae.